This 406-nucleotide ribosomal RNA is filed under the name uncultured bacterium. Its description in RNAcentral is "bacterial SSU rRNA". It matches the Rfam family "Bacterial small subunit ribosomal RNA", at positions 355 to 776 of the family's 1533-position model. The record is from RNAcentral.
UGGGGAAUAUUGCGCAAUGGACGAAAGUCUGACGCAGCGACGCCGCGUGAAGGAAGAAGGCCUUCGGGUUGUAAACUUCUUUGGUGAGGGACGACAAAAGGACGGUACCUCAGGAACAAGCCACGGCUAACUACGUGCCAGCAGCCGCGGUAAUACGUAGGUGGCGAGCGUUGUCCGGAAUUACUGGGUGUAAAGGGCGCGUAGGCGGGGAUGUAAGUCAGGUGUGAAAUACCGGGGCUCAACCCCGGGGGUGCAUCUGAAACUAUGUCUCUUGAGUGCUGGAGAGGAAAGCGGAAUUCCUAGUGUAGCGGUGAAAUGCGUAGAGAUUAGGAGGAACACCAGUGGCGAAGGCGGCUUUCUGGACAGUAACUGACGCUGAGGCGCGAAAGCGUGGGGAGCAAACAGG